This 420-nucleotide ribosomal RNA is filed under the name uncultured microorganism. RNAcentral's name for it is "bacterial SSU rRNA". It matches the Rfam family "Bacterial small subunit ribosomal RNA", at positions 9 to 429 of the family's 1533-position model. The record is from RNAcentral.
GAGUUUGAUCGUGGCUCAGAGUGAACGCUGGCGGUAGGCCUAACACAUGCAAGUCGAACGGCAGCACAGAGGAGCUUGCUCCUUGGGUGGCGAGUGGCGGACGGGUGAGGAAUACAUCGGAAUCUACUCUGUCGUGGGGGAUAACGUAGGGAAACUUACGCUAAUACCGCAUACGACCUACGGGUGAAGCAGGGAGUCUUCGGACCUUGCGCGAUUGAAUGAGCCGAUGUCGGAUUAGCUAGUUGGCGGGGUAAAGGCCCACCAAGGCGACGAUCCGUAGCUGGUCUGAGAGGAUGAUCAGCCACACUGGAACUGAGACACGGUCCAGACUCCUACGGGAGGCAGCAGUGGGGAAUAUUGGACAAUGGGCGCAAGCCUGAUCCAGCCAUACCGCGUGGUGAAGAAGGCCUCGGUUGUAAG